RNAcentral lists this ribosomal RNA (304 nucleotides) under uncultured Planctomycetales bacterium. RNAcentral describes it as "bacterial SSU rRNA". It matches the Rfam family "Bacterial small subunit ribosomal RNA", at positions 370 to 665 of the family's 1533-position model. Lineage: Bacteria; Pseudomonadati; Planctomycetota; Planctomycetia; Planctomycetales. The record is from RNAcentral.
AAUGCCCGAAAGGGUGACGAAGCGACGCCGCGUGGGUGAGGAAGGCCUUCGGGUUGUAAAGCCCUGUCAGGAGUUAAGAAAUGUAGAUGCGCUAAUAUCGCAUUUGCUUGACGAAGGCUCCAAAGGAAGUCACGGCUAACUCUGUGCCAGCAGCCGCGGUAACACAGAGGUGGCAAGCGUUGUUCGGAAUUAUUGGGCGUAAAGAGCGCGUAGGUGGGUUUGUAAGUCAGAUGUGAAAGCCUUCUGUUCAACGGAAGAAUUGCAUCUGAAACUGCGAAUCUUGAGUAUAGGAGGGGAGAAUGGA